ACGCUGGCGGCAGGCCUAACACAUGCAAGUCGAGCGGUAGAGAGAAGCUUGCUUCUCUUGAGAGCGGCGGACGGGUGAGUAAUGCCUAGGAAUCUGCCUGGUAGUGGGGGAUAACGUCCGGAAACGGACGCUAAUACCGCAUACGUCCUACGGGAGAAAGCAGGGGACCUUCGGGCCUUGCGCUAUCAGAUGAGCCUAGGUCGGAUUAGCUAGUUGGUGGGGUAAUGGCUCACCAAGGCGACGAUCCGUAACUGGUCUGAGAGGAUGAUCAGUCACACUGGAACUGAGACACGGUCCAGACUCCUACGGGAGGCAGCAGUGGGGAAUAUUGGACAAUGGGCGAAAGCCUGAUCCAGCCAUGCCGCGUGUGUGAAGAAGGUCUUCGGAUUGUAAAGCACUUUAAGUUGGGAGGAAGGGCAGUAAAUUAAUACUUUGCUGUUUUGACGUUACCGACAGAAUAAGCACCGGCUAACUCUGUGCCAGCAGCCGCGGUAAUACAGAGGGUGCAAGCGUUAAUCGGAAUUACUGGGCGUAAAGCGCGCGUAGGUGGUUCGUUAAGUUGGAUGUGAAAUCCCCGGGCUCAACCUGGGAACUGCAUUCAAAACUGUCGAGCUAGAGUAUGGUAGAGGGUGGUGGAAUUUCCUGUGUAGCGGUGAAAUGCGUAGAUAUAGGAAGGAACACCAGUGGCGAAGGCGACCACCUGGACUGAUACUGACACUGAGGUGCGAAAGCGUGGGGAGCAAAC
This 745-nucleotide ribosomal RNA is filed under the name uncultured bacterium. Its description in RNAcentral is "bacterial SSU rRNA". It matches the Rfam family "Bacterial small subunit ribosomal RNA", at positions 33 to 773 of the family's 1533-position model. The record is from RNAcentral.